RNAcentral lists this ribosomal RNA (301 nucleotides) under uncultured bacterium. Its description in RNAcentral is "partial 16S ribosomal RNA". It matches the Rfam family "Bacterial small subunit ribosomal RNA", at positions 509 to 807 of the family's 1533-position model. The record is from RNAcentral.
CAGUAGCCGCGGUAAUACGUAGGGUGCAAGCGUUAUCCGGAAUUAUUGGGCGUAAAGGGCUCGUAGGCGGUUUGUUGCGUCGGGAGUGAAAACCUAUAGCUUAACUGUGGGCUUGCUUUCGAUACGGGCAGACUUGAGGCAUUCAGGGGAGAACGGAAUUCCUGGUGUAGCGGUGAAAUGCGUAGAGAUCUGGAGGAAUACCGAUGGCGAAGGCAGCCAUCUGGCCUAAUACUGACGCUGAGGUACGAAAGCAUGGGGAGCAAACAGGAUUAGAUACCCCAGUAGUCCCUGUCUCUUAUAC